RNAcentral lists this microRNA precursor (166 nucleotides) under Bigelowiella natans CCMP2755. Its description in RNAcentral is "miRNA EPrBNAG00000013318". Lineage: Eukaryota; Cercozoa; Chlorarachniophyceae. The record is from RNAcentral.
UGCAAAAGUAGCAGCGGCAGCAGCAGCAGCAUCAGCAGCAGCAACAACAACAACAACGUCGUCCGUAAUAGUAAACGAUAAAACAAGAACAAUAACAACGACAGCUUCAGGCUCUGAUGAUACUGCUGCUGCUGCUGCUGCUGCUACCGCAAGUAAUGCUCUUGUA